RNAcentral lists this long non-coding RNA (1044 nucleotides) under Papio anubis (olive baboon). Its description in RNAcentral is "lncRNA (ENSPANG00000043714.1)". Lineage: Eukaryota; Metazoa; Chordata; Mammalia; Primates; Cercopithecidae. The record is from RNAcentral.
GGCAGCCACAUCAACACUGUAUCCCCAGAGUCCCACCACCCAACAGACACAGUCCCCAGAGUCCCACACCCAACAGACACAGUCUCCAGAGUCCCACCACCAACAGACCCCGUCUCCAGAGUCCCACCCCCAACAGACACCGUCCCAAGUCCCACCACCCAACAGACACCGUCUCCAGAGUCCCACCACCCAACAGACACAGUCUCCAGAGUCCCACACCCAACAGACACCCAGUCUCCAGAGUCCCACCACCCAACAGACACAGUCCCCAGAGUCCCACCACCCAGCCAAGACACAGUCUCCAGAGUCCCACACCCAACAGACACAGUCCCCAGAGUCCCACCACCCAACAGACACCGUCUCCAGGUCCCACCACCCAACAGACACAGUCUCAGAGUCCCACACCCAACAGACACAGUCCCCAGAGUCCCACCACCCAACAGACACAGUCCCCAGAGUCCCACCACCCAACAGACACAGUCUCCAGAGUCCCACACCCAACAGACACCGUCCAGAGUCCCACACCCAACAGACACAGUCUCCAGAGUCCCACACCCAACAGACACAGUCCCCAGAGUCCCACCACCCAACAGACACCGUCUCCAGGGGCCCACCACCCAACAGACACAGUCUCCAGAGUCCCACACCCAACAGACACACAGUCCCCAGAGUCCCACCACCCAACAGACACCAUCUCCAGAGUCCCACACCCAGCAGGGCAGUCCCCAGGAGUCCCACAUGAGCCACGGUCUCCAGAGGUCCCACACCCAACAGACACAGUCCCCAGAGUCCCACCACCCAACAGACGCCGUCUCCAGAGUCCCACACCCAACAGACACCGUCUCCAGAGUCCCACACCCAACAGACACCGUCUCCCAAGAGUCCCACACCCAACAGACACAGUCCCCAGAGUCCCACCACCCAACAGACACCGUCUCUAGAGUCCCACCACCCAACAGACACACGUCUCCAGAGUCCCACACCCAACAGACACCGUCUCCAGAGUCCCUACCCAGCAGACACGUCCCCAGGGGUCCACCUUGA